RNAcentral lists this ribosomal RNA (460 nucleotides) under uncultured bacterium. RNAcentral's name for it is "partial 16S ribosomal RNA". It matches the Rfam family "Bacterial small subunit ribosomal RNA", at positions 338 to 795 of the family's 1533-position model. The record is from RNAcentral.
CCUACGGGAGGCAGCAGUGAGGAAUAUUGGUCAAUGGACGAGAGUCUGAACCAGCCAAGUAGCGUGAAGGAUGACGGCCCUAUGAGUUGUAAACUUCUUUUAUAUGGGAAUAAAAUGUUACACGUGUGGGAUUUUGUAUGUACCAUAUGAAUAAGGAUCGGCUAACUCCGUGCCAGCAGCCGCGGUAAUACGGAGGAUCCGAGCGUUAUCCGGAUUUAUUGGGUUUAAAGGGAGCGUAGGUGGUUUGUGAAGUUAGUGGUGAAAGUUUGCGGCUCAACUGUAAAAUUGCAGUUGAAACUGGCAGUCUUGAGUUCAGUAGAGGUGGGCGGAAUUCGUGGUGUAGCGGUGAAAUGCUUAGAUAUCAUGCAGAACUCCGAUUGCGAAGGCAGCUCACUGGACUGCAACUGACACUGAGGCUCGAAAGUGUGGGUAGCAAACAGGAUUAGAUACCCUGGUAGUC